Long non-coding RNA from Lathyrus oleraceus (garden pea), 301 nucleotides. RefSeq lists it as uncharacterized. The record is from RefSeq and is a predicted model, not a curated record. The transcript is spliced from 3 exons. NCBI's taxonomy places the organism in Eukaryota, Viridiplantae, Streptophyta, Magnoliopsida, Fabales, Fabaceae.
AUAAUACAAGUAGCAUUCCCUUUUCCAAACUUUCCUAUGCUCUUCCAAAUACUUUACAUUUUCUCCACCUACCCAAAACUUCCUUUCAACAAUUGUGCUUCUAUGUAAAAGAAUAAAGAAGGAGAGGGAAAAAACGAGACACUAAUAUAGAAUUCCCCUUAUCUUCUCUUUUACUUUGACAAAACAAUUGUACCCUUUUAUCAUAAGAAAUGGUCAUGUUAGUAUCAUGGUGGAAAAAUACUUUAAUUGUGUAUUGGAAUUAGAAAUGCAAACUCUUGAAGGACUAGAUUUUUUCGGUAAC